This 513-nucleotide ribosomal RNA is filed under the name uncultured bacterium. RNAcentral's name for it is "partial 16S ribosomal RNA". It matches the Rfam family "Bacterial small subunit ribosomal RNA", at positions 28 to 523 of the family's 1533-position model. The record is from RNAcentral.
GACGAACGCUGGCGGCAUGCCUAAUACAUGCAAGUCGAGCGAACAGAUGAAGUGCUUGCACUUCUGACGUUAGCGGCGAACGGGUGAGUAACACGUAAGGAAUCUACCCAUAAGCGGGGGAUGACAUUCGGAAACGGGUGCUAAUACCGCAUAAUAUCUUCUUCCGCAUGGAAGAAGAUUGAAAGACGGCUCUGCUGUCACUUAUAGAUGACCUUGCGGUGCAUUAGUUAGUUGGUGGGGUAACGGCCUACCAAGACGAUGAUGCAUAGCCGACCUGAGGGGGUGCUCGGCCACAGUGGAACGGGGACACGACACAAACUCCUACGGGAGGCAGCAGCAGGGAAUCUUCCGCAAUGGGCGAAGGCCUGACGGAGCAAUGCCGCGUGAGUGAAGAAGGCCUUCGGGUCGUAAAACUCUGUUAUAAGAGAAGAACAAAUUGUAGAGUAACUGCUACAGUCUUGACGGUAUCUUAUCAGAAAGCCACGGCUAACUACGUGCCAGCAGCCGCCGUAA